Long non-coding RNA from Sitodiplosis mosellana (orange wheat blossom midge), 736 nucleotides. RefSeq lists it as uncharacterized. The transcript is spliced from 2 exons. The record is from RefSeq and is a predicted model, not a curated record. NCBI's taxonomy places the organism in Eukaryota, Metazoa, Arthropoda, Insecta, Diptera, Cecidomyiidae.
AAUAUGUGUAUAAAUCCUAAAUAUUAGCCAGGCAUCGGUUACAGUUUGAAUUUGAAAUUCGUGUGAAAAUGAACGUAUUACCGUUGGUUUUGUUGGUGUGUGCUAUUUUGCUGCAGUUGCAGCAACAAACUCAAGCAGGCGUUUCCUCGCUUGAUCCCAAAAAAUGUCAUGAAGAGAGAGAUCGUUUGCGAGAAAAUUUACAACAACUCAACGAUCAUGUGAACGAAGAUAAGGUCGAUAGAACUUUCGACAUAUUGAACAAGACUACAGAUGAGGUACGGAAACUGCAUGAAUUGAAACUACAAACCGUAGAAGAUAGGUGUAAACUACUCGGAUCACUUGAAACAAUUACGCAGCGACUCGCUCAUCUUGAGACCAAACUAAAUGAAACCAAUGAGUAUUUGUUUCAAAGAGCUAUCACUAUGUUUUCCAAGUAUACACCUUUUGGGGGAGUGAGGAACGGAGAACCGCCAUUAUUCCAGCGAACGAAUCGGACAUUAUUAUCGAAAUAGCUUUAAUCGGUGGAACAAUAGAGUGCUUUCUUAAGGCAUAAUUUCCAAGGCGAAAGAUUGCAGUCUUGUGCAUUGGAAAUAGUGCCUUUAGAGGAAAAUAUCAAAGAAAUAAUCAAACCAAAUAAACGUAUUCGUAAACUCAAUUUAUUCAACGCAAUUUUGUGUUCUAUUUAUUUGAAUUUUCCAUUUUGAUUGGAAAACAAUUACAAGAUUUGGUGAAAUUA